This 245-nucleotide ribosomal RNA is filed under the name uncultured Treponema sp. Its description in RNAcentral is "partial 16S ribosomal RNA". It matches the Rfam family "Bacterial small subunit ribosomal RNA", at positions 524 to 768 of the family's 1533-position model. Lineage: Bacteria; Pseudomonadati; Spirochaetota; Spirochaetia; Treponematales; Treponemataceae. The record is from RNAcentral.
CACGUAAGGGGCAAGCGUUGUUCGGAAUUAUUGGGCGUAAAGGGUACGUAGGCGGUCCUGUAAGCCCGGCGUGAAAUACUGGAGCUUAACUCCAGAACUGCGCUGGGAACUGUGGGACUUGAGUCAUGGAAGGGGAGUUGGAAUUCCAGGUGUAGGGGUGAAAUCUGUAGAUAUCUGGAAGAACACCGGUGGCGAAGGCGAACUCCUGGCCAAUGACUGACGCUGAGGUACGAAAGUGCGGGGAG